GCAGUGGUUGUUCAGUCAUAGAAUUCUCACCUUCCACGUGGGAGGCCUGGGUUUGAUUCCCAGCCAAUGCA
This 71-nucleotide transfer RNA is filed under the name Loxodonta africana (African savanna elephant). It matches the Rfam family "tRNA". Rfam says of the family: Transfer RNA (tRNA) molecules are approximately 80 nucleotides in length. Their secondary structure includes four short double-helical elements and three loops (D, anti-codon, and T loops). The record is from Rfam by way of RNAcentral. Lineage: Eukaryota; Metazoa; Chordata; Mammalia; Proboscidea; Elephantidae.